CAAAACUUUCAACAACGGAUCUCUUGGCUCUGGCAUCGAUGAAGAACGCAGCGAAACGCGAUAAGUAAUGUGAAUUGCAAAAUCCAGUGAAUCAUCGAAUCUUUGAACGCACAUUGCGCCCGCCAGCAUUCUGGCGGGCAUGCCUGUUCGAGC
This 153-nucleotide ribosomal RNA is filed under the name Beauveria bassiana. Its description in RNAcentral is "5.8S ribosomal RNA". It matches the Rfam family "5.8S ribosomal RNA". From Rfam's summary of the family: 5.8S ribosomal RNA (5.8S rRNA) is a component of the large subunit of the eukaryotic ribosome. It is transcribed by RNA polymerase I as part of the 45S precursor that also contains 18S and 28S rRNA. Lineage: Eukaryota; Fungi; Ascomycota; Sordariomycetes; Hypocreales; Cordycipitaceae. The record is from RNAcentral.